UACAGAGGUCCCAAGCGUUGUUCGGAUUCAUUGGGCGUAAAGGGUGCGUAGGUGGCGUCGUAAGUCGGGUGUGAAAUUUCGGAGCUCAACUCCGAAACUGCAUUCGAUACUGCGGUGCUUGAGGACUGGAGAGGAGACUGGAAUUUACGGUGUAGCAGUGAAAUGCGUAGAGAUCGUAAGGAAGACCAGUGGCGAAGGCGGGUCUCGUGGACAGUUCCUGACACUGAGGCACGAAGGCCAGGGGAGCAAACGGG
This 254-nucleotide ribosomal RNA is filed under the name uncultured bacterium. Its description in RNAcentral is "partial 16S ribosomal RNA". It matches the Rfam family "Bacterial small subunit ribosomal RNA", at positions 524 to 776 of the family's 1533-position model. The record is from RNAcentral.